Molecule: ribosomal RNA, 608 nt
Filed under: uncultured bacterium
Lineage: Bacteria
Description: bacterial SSU rRNA
Rfam family: Bacterial small subunit ribosomal RNA
Source: RNAcentral
GCAGUCGAACGGUAACAGGAAUUAGCUUGCUAAUUUGCUGACGAGUGGCGCACGGGUGCGUAACGCGUAUACAAUCUACCUUUUGCUGAGGGAUAGCCCAGAGAAAUUUGGAUUAAUACCUCAUGGUAUUAUUGAUAGGCAUCUAUUAAUAAUUAAAGGUUACGGCAAAAGAUGAGUAUGCGUCCCAUUAGCUAGUUGGUGAAGUAACGGUUCACCAAGGCAACGAUGGGUAGGGGUCCUGAGAGGGAGAUCCCCCACACUGGUACUGAGACACGGACCAGACUCCUACGGGAGGCAGCAGUGAGGAAUAUUGGACAAUGGGCGAGAGCCUGAUCCAGCCAUGCCGCGUGCAGGAAGACUGCCCUAUGGGUUGUAAACUGCUUUUAUACAGGAAGAAUAAGCCUUACGUGUAAGGUGAUGACGGUACUGUAAGAAUAAGGACCGGCUAACUCCGUGCCAGCAGCCGCGGUAAUACGGAGGGUCCGAGCGUUAUCCGGAAUUAUUGGGUUUAAAGGGUCCGUAGGCGGAUGAUUAAGUCAGGGGUGAAAGUUUGCAGCUCAACUGUAAAAUUGCCUUUGAUACUGGUCAUCUUGAGUUGUAUUGAAGUA